UUUUUAUAUGCCCGAAAGGGCAUAUUAUGUUAUACCCCCUGGCGUCCGUCUGUCUGUCCGUCCGUCCGUCCGUCUGUCCGUCCGUCCGUACGUCCGUCCGUCCGUUAGCAAUUUGGUUUCCGGAGCAUAACUUAAGUUCCAUUUGGCCCACAAUGUUAAAACUUCAUAGGAUGAUUGUCCAUAUUGGGUAGAAGACCCCUAUUGAUUUUGGGGUCAAAAGGUCAAAGGUCAAGGUCACUAUUACCUUAAAACUGAAAACGGUUUCCGGAGCAUAACUUAAGUUCCAUUCGACCCACAAUGUUCAAACUUCAUAGGAUGAUUGUCCAUAUUGGGAAGAAGACCCCUAUUGAUUUUGGGGUCACAAGGUCAAAGGUCAAGGUCACUAUGACCUUGAUACUGAAAACAGUUUCCGGAGCAUAACUUAAGUUCCAAUUGGCCCACAAUGUUCAAACUUCAUAGGAUGAUUGUCCAUAUUGGGUAGAAGACCCCUAUUGAUUUUGGGGUCAAAGGUCAAGGUCACUAUUACCUUAUAACUGAAAACAGUUUCCAGAGCAUAACUUAAGUUCCAUUCGACCCACAAUGUUCAAACUUCAUAGGAUGAUUGUCCAUAUUGGGAAGAAGACCCCUAUUGAUUUUGGGGUCACAAGGUCAAAGGUCAAGGUCACUAUGACCUUGAUACUGAAAACAGUUUCCGGAGCAUAACUUAAGUUCCAAUUGGCCCACAAUGUUCAAACUACAUAGGAUGAUUGUCCAUAUUGGGUAGAAGACCCCUAUUGAUUUUUGGGUCAAAAGGUCAAAGGUCAAGGUCACUAUUACCUUAUAACUGAAAACAGUUUCCAGAGCAUAACUUAAGCUCCAUUCGACCCACAAUGUUCAAACUUCAUCGGAUGAUUGUCCAUAUUGGGUAGAAGACCCCUAUUGAUUUUGGGGUCACAAGGUCAAAGGUGAAGGUCACUAUUACAUUGAUACUGAAAAAUAUGUUUCCAUGCAUAACUUAAGUUCAUUUUGACCCACAAUGUUCAAACUUCAUAGGAUGAUUGUCCAUAUUGGGUAGAAGACCCCUGUUGAUUUUGGGGUCAAAAGGUCAAAGGUGAAGGUCACUAUUACCUUGAUACUGAAAACAGUUGCCGGAGCAUAUGUUAAGUUCCAUUUGGCCCACAAUGUUCAAACUUCAUAGGAUGAUUGUCCAUAUUGGGUAGAAGACCCCUAUUGAUUUUGGGGUCAAAAGGUCAACGGUUAAGGUCAUCCUUACUAAAAAAAAAAAAAUACUUUCGGGCAUAUAAUGCUCCGCCUAGCGGUGCUCUUGUU
Molecule: long non-coding RNA, 1308 nt
Organism: Ruditapes philippinarum (Manila clam)
Lineage: Eukaryota; Metazoa; Mollusca; Bivalvia; Venerida; Veneridae
Exons: 2
Source: RefSeq, a predicted model, not a curated record